This 840-nucleotide long non-coding RNA is filed under the name Theobroma cacao (cacao). Its description in RNAcentral is "long non-coding RNA (TCAC_LNC001584)". The record is from RNAcentral. Lineage: Eukaryota; Viridiplantae; Streptophyta; Magnoliopsida; Malvales; Malvaceae.
CCUGCCAGACGCGAAAAAUUCAUGUCUGACAGGGUAGUGGAGACACUACACUCGACCAAAAAGCCGAGUGUAUAAAGCCCCACUGUAGCAACCCGGGAGAGGAAGAAUCGGAGCCAAAAAAAAAUCACAACCUGCAAACCAAAAAACCCUAGAAAAUCCUAGCAACCAGAGACCAAAAAUCCAAAGCUAAGCCUCCUAGCAGUAGCAACAAUCCAUAAAAAUCAAAGAAAUAUACCAAAAAAUAUAUACCAAAAAAAAUUCAAAAAUAUGCACAAUGAGAGAGGGAGAAUAGUUGGGUUUUUUGGGUGAAUUUUUGGUUGAUUUUUAAGAGCGAUAAAGCUUGGAUAUUUGUCGCCGGUGAGAGUGGGUAAAGCUUGGGUUGUUUGCCGCCAGUUAAGAGGGAUAAAGCUUGGGUUUUUUGCCACCGGUUAGGAGGGGUAAAGCUUGGGUAUUUACUGUCGGUGAGAGUGGGUAAAGCUUGGGUUAUUUACCGCCGGUUAGGAGGGAUAAAGCUUGGGUAUUUGCCACCUGUGAGAGUGGGUAAAGCUUGGGUUGUUUGCCGCCAGUUAAGAGGGAUAAAGCUUGGGUUUUUUGCCACCGGUUAGGAGGGGUAAAGCUUGGGUAUUUGCUGCCGGUUAGAGUGGGUAAAGCUUGGGUAUUUGCUGCCGGUUAGAGUGGGUAAAGCUUGGGUAUUUGCCACCUGUGAGAGUGGGUAAAGCUUGGGCUAUUUGCCGCCCGUUAGGAAGAAUAAAGCUUGGGCUAUUUGCUGCCGGCAAAGGAAAGAGAGAAAGGGUUAAGAAAGUCGACGCUGGUGAGAGAGAAAAGAGAGAAGAAAAGUGA